Long non-coding RNA from Branchiostoma floridae (Florida lancelet), 3462 nucleotides. RefSeq lists it as uncharacterized. Lineage: Eukaryota; Metazoa; Chordata; Leptocardii; Amphioxiformes; Branchiostomatidae. The transcript is spliced from 4 exons. The record is from RefSeq and is a predicted model, not a curated record.
CACAAUAGUUUAGGCCAGUACUCUAGCAGUUUUAGUCAUCUAUUGAGUGUUCCCAAAGGAAUAAUCCUGGGACCUUUACCGUUCACUGUACAUGAAUGAUUUUUUUUUAGUUAUAUUGUCUUGCCUUUUCCAGAAACCCAAGCCCCAGUAGUUCAGGCUAGUACUCCAGCAGUAGCAGUCAUCCCUUAAGUGUUCCCCAAGGAAUAAUCCUUGGGCCAUUGCUAUGCUUUUUGUACAUGAAUGAUCAGUCAUAUUAUCUCGCCAUUCUCAGAAUCCCAAGUCUUUAGGCCAACAAUAGCAGUAGUAGUAGCAGUAAAUUAUGGAGUGUUCCCCAAGGAAUAACCCUUUGGCCAUUGCUGACCUUUUUGUACAAUUCAUGUAUAAGUAAAAUUUAAGAUAUUAUGUUGCCAAUUCCAGAAACCCCAGCCACAGUAGUUCAGGCCAAUACUCCAGCAGUAGCAGUCUUCCCGAGACCUGUGCCAGUGGCGACACAGUAACCACGGAGACGGCGGGGGUCACGCCCAAGGCUCCUGUGCGCAGGGUAGGUGGUGACCGGCUGCUGUUGACAGUGUGCAGACAUCAACACGACAUUAAGCAUAAGGAGGCAAAUCAGCAAAGAAGAGUGGACGACACCAGAGUGGACGCAGAUGACGUCGUCAACCAGAUCCUGGAAUCGCAGGACUUCACUGCAGACAUGAGUACCGAAGAUGAUGAAGGUUUAAGACUGUUUGUGGCCAAGGAUGGGACAACAGCACUGAGCAGCCAAGAACUCAAGAACAGGAUAUCGGCUGGUGCUUUUGAAGCAGUUAUCUUUGAGAACAGAUAGUUUCCUGACAGAUCUGAAGACUACAGAGAGGCGAGACAAGCAGGCUACAGAAAGAGAAUAAUUUUUCUGCAGUGAUUUUGACUCCCAGUUCAUACAUAUGGGAGAAAGAAAAUGCAAAUGAGGUGUCACUAAAGCAAAGGGUUAUGGGAAAUAUGUGGCUGUGCCAUUGAAAAUGAAGUUACAUUUGAAAGAUGAUUUGACAAGUUGGUAUAUUUUGAUAAGUGUGUACAAAUAAAUCAAUAAGGUUUGUAAAAUAGGAGCUUGCAAGAACGUUGUUGUAUGGAAGUUCUGGUGGAAUAAGUAGAAAAAGAAAGAAACUUGCAAAAUGUAUGGAGGAGAAAGAAUAAUUGUUUUUGUGCCAGACUUUUUUUUUCAAGGUGCCCGUCAUUUAUGAACUGCUAAAUCAUGUAUUUUAUGGAACUGCCAUCACUACUGUAACAUGCCGCCAAGUUGUAAUACUUUACUAAUACGGCAUACAUGUAUUUUAGUAUGGAAACAUUGUACAUAAUGAUAGCACUGUAAAACUUGUAUAAUCAGGAAAAACAGUGGAAUUAAGUGUGAUGUCUGAGUAUCUUUCUAUCCAAUGGGUUAGCAUGAUGUUUAUCUUACAAAUUAAAUGACUCUUUUCUGUGUCCAAACUAGUUUUCAUCCGUGGCUUUAAUUUUGUAUGUGACAACAUCAAAAAUUGCCCUUAACAAAAGGAUUGCACAUUUUCCUCUUUUUUUUUCAUUAUAAGUCAAUAUUUCUAGAUUUAAUCACAAAAUGAUAUUUCUCCUAAAACGAUCCACCUGUAAGCUGUUAACUUCAUUUUACUGUUUUUGUGGUAAUCACAGCUUGACGGAUUUUAAAGGAAUGGGUACGAUAGAACUGUUACAAUAGUUUAUGAUUGACACUAAAUUACCAGUAAACAUUUCAUAUUCAAUAUAGGAUAUGAAGAUAUAAAACAACUUGGUUAUUUUAUGCUGCACAUUGGAUACAAAGAUGCUCAGUUUGCAGUACAUGCUGUGAACAGAAUACAGUACGUGAUACCUGGCAUGUUUUAGAUAGGAACUAAUCUGAGUGUUAUUACUUCUGUGUUAGAGAGGUUAGUGCCAACAUCUACUAGGUAGUUACAACAUGAUGAGGACACACAGUACACAAAUUGAAGGGCAUUCUAAUGAAGUCACUUGGUUCUCUAUAUCUUAAAGUUGCUGAAGAAGACUGUGAACCAGCCUAUAAUAUCUUCUUUGUAGCUGGUUUGUAUUGAGUUACUGUUAGCCUGUCUACCAGCCGUCUUAGGGCCUACUUUCUGGAACAAUGUUGUGACUUGGCCAAGCUUAGUUGGGAUUAACUGCUACAAAACUAUGCUAGAUUACUACAAAAUAAAACUAAAAAGUAGUUUCAGCCAAAAAAAGAUGUUGUUUUUAUUCACAGCUAUAUAAUGUGUUUCAUUUGAGAUUUUUUUUUUUUUUCAAACUUUACUUUUUGGUUCUUUCUUUGCGUAGCCCGAUUAUCAUUGAAAAUGAUAGUAUAAUACUUUCUGAUUUGGUUUCUGAUUUAAAACCUGUGAGGUAAUGAUAAUAGCACUUAAAAUUUUUGUGAAUUAUUUUUUGUCCUUUUUUGUUGGUUUUACUAUUAAACGAGAACCAAGGGGCUGCAUUUGGUUUUUCCUUGUUAGUCAAUUUCUCAAUCAACUUUUGCCUGAAAGCUAUAGGAUUUGUAGUUGCAAUAAUUCUACUUAGAGAUGUGGAAAAAAAUUACAACUACAACAGCACAACCAAAACUUCAAGCAUCUUUUAAAAGAAGUGAAGUGUGUACAAGUGUGUUCUCAUCAAGAAUUAACAACGGAACAUAACUCAUUUGGGGAGUAGAGUUUGUAACUAGUAACCAAGUGUUUGUAAUGUUUUAUAUUUCCUUCUACAAUUUGAUGCUUUUUUGGUGGAAGUUUUUAUAUAACCUACAGAACUUCCAAACGACAAUAAUAUUUCAACACGUUGUAUACAUUGGAUAUGAUUAUAUAUAAUACUGUAAAUGAUGACAGUGUGCUAGCCACAUUGUAUACUGGAGUGAUGAUAUGACUUAAUUUUUUUGUCCGAAUGAUGAUAUGUAAUUAUGAUACUAAUGUUAAUGUAUUAAUCAUGCUAUAGUGAAGUUAGAAUCGGCCCGUUUUGUGUAACACGUUAUGAUAUGUCUACCCGCUGGCAGGGGUUUUGUAUUUAGUGCUGCGCAAAUCUUGGUUGCCAUAAAAGAAGACAUUUGCAACAACUGGGCUCACCCCUUGGGCCUCGCCAAAAAUAUGUUUCAUUCACUACAGUAUGUAGAAAAUUGUGCUUGCCUUUACUACCUUGUAUAAUGGAUUCUUUGCAAAGAUGAGUUUUGGGGAUCAUUUUCGACAACAAAAAAGACGAUGUAUGACUUGUAGAUUUCUUGACGCAGUUACAUUGUAAGCUUUGUGAUAGACUGAGUUUGCCAUGAUUUUGAAAAAAAGCCAAGUUUUCUACACUAAGUCUUAUAGUACUACCAGGUGGCCACAGACUUCUUGUGUAAUGUUAUAUACAUGUACAAGUAGUUAUCAAUGACUGUAACCAUCAAGAAGAACCUAAUUUUUUUUUGUAUUCUUGGUUUUGUGGAGAUAAAGUUUGCAGGUAGUACUAAAA